GAUUUAGAACUGUAAGUUUCUGUAUAUUAUUAAUGAAUAAGUGUUCUCUUUAUAUAGGGGUUACAAGAGAGAUAAAUAGAAAUACAAUAAUAGGAAAGAUUACAAAUCAUAAACAUAAACGAAUUAGGAAAUAGGCAAGUUGUAGCCACCUCUCUCUCCUCUCCAAGUCUCGUGGCCGUCUCUCUCUCUCUCUAGAGUUGGACCGUCUCUCUCUCUAAGUGUAUGGGCCGAUUAUGGACCGGGCCGGUUAUGGACAUCUACCAAUUGAUUUAUAACACUCCCCCU
RNAcentral lists this long non-coding RNA (285 nucleotides) under Brassica napus (rape). Its description in RNAcentral is "long non-coding RNA (BNAP_LNC021294)". Lineage: Eukaryota; Viridiplantae; Streptophyta; Magnoliopsida; Brassicales; Brassicaceae. The record is from RNAcentral.